This 443-nucleotide ribosomal RNA is filed under the name uncultured bacterium. Its description in RNAcentral is "bacterial SSU rRNA". It matches the Rfam family "Bacterial small subunit ribosomal RNA", at positions 354 to 796 of the family's 1533-position model. The record is from RNAcentral.
GUAAGGAAUAUUGCUCAAUGGCCGAAAGGCUGAAGCAGCAACGCCGCGUGAGGGACGAAGGGCUUAAGCUUGUAAACCUCUGUAACGGGGGAAAAAACUUCCACUUAAGUGGAAUAUGAUGGUACCCCGAAAGUAAGCGUCGGCUAACUACGUGCCAGCAGCCGCGGUAAUACGUAGGACGCAAACGUUGUCCGGAUUUACUGGGUGUAAAGGGUGCUCAGGCGGUCUUGUAAGUCAGAGGUGAAAUCUCCCGACUCAAUCGGGAAACUGCCUUUGAUACUGUGAGGCUUGAGUGCAGAAGAGGCGGAUGGAAUUUCUGGUGUAGCAGUGAAAUGCGUAGAUAUCAGAAAGAACACCAGUGGCGAAGGCGGUCCGCUGGUCUGUCACUGACGCUAAAGCACGAAAGCGUGGGUAGCAAACAGGAUUAGAUACCCUUGUAGUCC